Molecule: long non-coding RNA, 304 nt
Filed under: Homo sapiens (human)
Lineage: Eukaryota; Metazoa; Chordata; Mammalia; Primates; Hominidae
Description: HSALNT0383320
Source: RNAcentral
UUUGUGAUUCAUCUAACAGAGCUUACUAUAGAUUCCAUAAAGCACUCUGAACCACCACUGAAAUUCUAGUUAUCAUUGUAUUUACUGAGCCCAAAGGGCCAAUUUAUGUAACUAUUUGUACAGGUAGAGAGAUAUGUGUGUCUUAGGUUCCAUCUCAAACUUGCAGGUUUUCAAGCCACUUUGUAAAUUUAUGUAGCAGCACAUCAAACUCUCCAAUACUGCCAACAAAAUCCAAAGACAGCAACUGAGAGAUGUGUCUUCUGUCUUCUUAAGAAACAACAACAAAUAAGCGUUGAGAACUUAC